GAUGAACGCUAGCUACAGGCUUAACACAUGCAAGUCGAGCGGUUUGUUGCUUUUGCACAUUCAGCGGCAGACGGGUGAGUAACACGUAUCUAACCUUCCCCUUACUUGGGCAUAGCCUCUGGAAACGGAGAUUAAUUUCCGAUGUGGUGUACAUUUCGCAUGUUUUGCGCACCAAAGAUUUAUCGGUAAGGGAUGGGGAUGCGCUCCAUUAGGUUGUAGGUAGGGUAAUGGCCUACCUAGCCUAUGAUGGAUAGGGGUUCUGAGAGGAAGGUCCCCCACAUUGGAACUGCGACACGGUCCAAACUCCUACGGGAGGCAGCAGUGAGGAAUAUUGGUCAAUGGCCGGAAGGCUGAACCAGCCAAGUAGCGUGCAGGAUGACUGCCUUAUGGGUUGUAAACUGCUUUUUUACGGGAAUAAUUAUGAUCACGUGUGAUUAUUUGCAUGUACCGUAAGAAUAAGGAUCGGCUAACUCCGUG
Molecule: ribosomal RNA, 477 nt
Filed under: uncultured bacterium
Lineage: Bacteria
Description: bacterial SSU rRNA
Rfam family: Bacterial small subunit ribosomal RNA
Source: RNAcentral